UAAAACAAACUGCCGAAUUCCCGUGUACAUGGAAACGGGGGAACCACUUUGGGUGAAUUGAUUUCGACGUCCCGCCAAGCAAGAAGUAAUCGUCCUCGCACCGCUUGCCAGCCAUCUCUGGUACCGCGGCCCGGGUCCUUACAACCACAAGGACGACCACGCCAGCUGCAGCAUGACGCCUGAGAAGUCAUAGGGUGCCUUCAACCGAACCCCACAGCUAACCUCGUAGGCUUUUGGAAGGAGCUUU
RNAcentral lists this small RNA (247 nucleotides) under Paenibacillus beijingensis. RNAcentral describes it as "c-di-AMP sequence". It matches the Rfam family "c-di-AMP riboswitch aptamer (ydaO/yuaA leader)". From Rfam's summary of the family: This family represents a conserved RNA structure found upstream of the ydaO and yuaA genes in Bacillus subtilis and related genes in other bacteria. The ydaO/yuaA element is thought to act as a genetic "off" switch for the ydaO and yuaA genes in its native state. It is believed that the element may be triggered during osmotic shock leading to activation of ydaO, a predicted amino acid transporter gene, and members of the yuaA-yubG operon which code for KtrA and KtrB K+ transporters. The record is from Rfam by way of RNAcentral. Lineage: Bacteria; Bacillati; Bacillota; Bacilli; Caryophanales; Paenibacillaceae.